UACGAAGGGGGCUAGCGUUGCUCGGAAUCACUGGGCGUAAAGCGCACGUAGGCGGAUCUUUAAGUCAGGGGUGAAAUCCCAAGGCUCAACCUUGGAACUGCCUUUGAUACUGGGGAUCUCGAGUCCGGAAGAGGUGAGUGGAACUGCGAGUGUAGAGGUGAAAUUCGUAGAUAUUCGCAAGAACACCGGUGGCGAAGGCGGGUCUCUGGGCCGAUACUGACGCUGAGGAGCGAAAGCGUGGGGAGCGAACAGG
Molecule: ribosomal RNA, 253 nt
Filed under: uncultured bacterium
Lineage: Bacteria
Description: partial 16S ribosomal RNA
Rfam family: Bacterial small subunit ribosomal RNA
Source: RNAcentral